AUCCAGCUGAUAAGUCUCAAAUAGGACGAAACGCGCAUCCUGGAU
This is a non-coding RNA of Schistosoma rodhaini, 45 nucleotides long. Lineage: Eukaryota; Metazoa; Platyhelminthes; Trematoda; Strigeidida; Schistosomatidae. The record is from Rfam.